This 72-nucleotide transfer RNA is filed under the name Bos taurus (domestic cattle). It matches the Rfam family "tRNA". From Rfam's summary of the family: Transfer RNA (tRNA) molecules are approximately 80 nucleotides in length. Their secondary structure includes four short double-helical elements and three loops (D, anti-codon, and T loops). Further hydrogen bonds mediate the characteristic L-shaped molecular structure. tRNAs have two regions of fundamental functional importance: the anti-codon, which is responsible for specific mRNA codon recognition, and the 3' end, to which the tRNAs corresponding amino acid is attached (by aminoacyl-tRNA synthetases). tRNAs cope with the degeneracy of the genetic code in two manners: having more than one tRNA (with a specific anti-codon) for a particular amino acid; and 'wobble' base-pairing, i.e. permitting non-standard base-pairing at the 3rd anti-codon position. RNAcentral also lists the same sequence under 1 other name. The record is from Rfam by way of RNAcentral. Lineage: Eukaryota; Metazoa; Chordata; Mammalia; Artiodactyla; Bovidae.
UCCCUGAAGGCUCAGUGGUAAAGAAUCUGCCUGCCAAUGCAGGAGACACAGGUUUGAUUCCUGAUCUGGGAA